This 505-nucleotide ribosomal RNA is filed under the name uncultured bacterium. Its description in RNAcentral is "bacterial SSU rRNA". It matches the Rfam family "Bacterial small subunit ribosomal RNA", at positions 30 to 527 of the family's 1533-position model. The record is from RNAcentral.
AUUGAACGCUGGCGGCAUGCCUUACACAUGCAAGUCGAACGGUAACAGGUCUUCGGAUGCUGACGAGUGGCGAACGGGUGAGUAAUACAUCGGAACGUGCCCGAUCGUGGGGGAUAACGGAGCGAAAGCUUUGCUAAUACCGCAUACGAUCUACGGAUGAAAGCAGGGGACCGCAAGGCCUUGCGCGGACGGAGCGGCCGAUGGCAGAUUAGGUAGUUGGUGGGAUAAAAGCUUACCAAGCCGACGAUCUGUAGCUGGUCUGAGAGGACGACCAGCCACACUGGGACUGAGACACGGCCCAGACUCCUACGGGAGGCAGCAGUGGGGAAUUUUGGACAAUGGGCGCAAGCCUGAUCCAGCCAUGCCGCGUGCAGGAUGAAGGCCUUCGGGUUGUAACUGCUUUGUACGGAACGAAAAGACUACUUUACUAAUAAAGAAGGUCCAGUGACGGUACCGUAAGAAUAAGACACCGGACUAACUACGUGCCAGCAGCCGCGGUAACCCG